This 594-nucleotide unclassified non-coding RNA is filed under the name Hevea brasiliensis (rubber tree). The record is from RNAcentral. Lineage: Eukaryota; Viridiplantae; Streptophyta; Magnoliopsida; Malpighiales; Euphorbiaceae.
CCAAGGGUACAGGUCAUUUCCCAUCCGCUUCCGGCACCUGAUUCUGGUGGUGCUUCAGUUAAUACUGUCAUUGAUAUGAAAAGUCUCCAGAAUUUGGUUCAUCCUGUGACCAAUAAUAAUCCUCUUAUUGGAACACAAGGAUGGGGAGCUGUUUCAGUUUCAAAACCAGAAAUGGUCGCUUCACACGCAAUAUCUGGUAGUGGAUCUCAGGGGUGGGGAAGUGCACCAUCCCAGAAGCCAGAGCAGAACAAUUCAAUUUCCUUGCCCACUCAAGCUGGUGCUUAUGGUAACUGGGGCGAUGCAUCAACUUCUGCUGCCCAUAGUUCUGCUUCAUCCUUUAUUGCAGGCAACCCAACCGGUGUUUCUCCUGCGCCAGGAGCUUCAGUUUUGGCACCAUCUGAUCUUUGGAGAGGUCCAAUGCCUGGGCAACCCAACAUUCAACCUUCUGCUGCUCCAUCUAAUGUGCCAUGGGGCAUGGGUAUUACUGAUAACCAAACUGUUACACCUAAACAAGGGCUAGAAAAUCAAAAUAUUGGUUGGGGGCCGGUUCCAGGAAAUCCAAACAUGGGCUGGGGAGGACCUGUGUCUGCAAAU